UGGGGAAUAUUGCACAAUGGGCGCAAGCCUGAUGCAGCCAUGCCGCGUGUAUGAAGAAGGCCUUCGGGUUGUAAAGUACUUUCAGCGGGGAGGAAGGCGAUGCGGUUAAUAACCGCGUCGAUUGACGUUACCCGCAGAAGAAGCACCGGCUAACUCCGUGCCAGCAGCCGCGGUAAUACGGAGGGUGCAAGCGUUAAUCGGAAUUACUGGGCGUAAAGCGCACGCAGGGGGUCUGUCAAGUCGGAUGUGAAAUCCCCGGGCUCAACCUGGGAACUGCAUCCGAAACUGGCAGGCUUGAGUCUCGUAGAGGGGGGUAGAAUUCCAGGUGUAGCGGUGAAAUGCGUAGAGAUCUGGAGGAAUACCGGUGGCGAAGGCGGCCCCCUGGACGAAGACUGACGCUCAGGUGCGAAAGCGUGGGGAGCAAACA
RNAcentral lists this ribosomal RNA (427 nucleotides) under uncultured bacterium. RNAcentral's name for it is "partial 16S ribosomal RNA". It matches the Rfam family "Bacterial small subunit ribosomal RNA", at positions 355 to 774 of the family's 1533-position model. The record is from RNAcentral.